This 73-nucleotide transfer RNA is filed under the name Solirubrobacterales bacterium. RNAcentral's name for it is "tRNA-Thr". It matches the Rfam family "tRNA". From Rfam's summary of the family: Transfer RNA (tRNA) molecules are approximately 80 nucleotides in length. Their secondary structure includes four short double-helical elements and three loops (D, anti-codon, and T loops). Lineage: Bacteria; Bacillati; Actinomycetota; Thermoleophilia; Solirubrobacterales. The record is from RNAcentral. RNAcentral also lists the same sequence under 5 other names.
GCCGACGUAGCUCAGCUGGUAGAGCACUUCACUCGUAAUGAAGGGGUCAGGGGUUCGAGUCCCCUCGUCGGCU